Molecule: ribosomal RNA, 646 nt
Filed under: Escherichia coli
Lineage: Bacteria; Pseudomonadati; Pseudomonadota; Gammaproteobacteria; Enterobacterales; Enterobacteriaceae
Description: partial 23S ribosomal RNA
Rfam family: Bacterial large subunit ribosomal RNA
Source: RNAcentral
GCCUGUGAAGGUGUACUGUGAGGUAUGCUGGAGGUAUCAGAAGUGCGAAUGCUGACAUAAGUAACGAUAAAGCGGGUGAAAAGCCCGCUCGCCGGAAGACCAAGGGUUCCUGUCCAACGUUAAUCGGGGCAGGGUGAGUCGACCCCUAAGGCGAGGCCGAAAGGCGUAGUCGAUGGGAAACAGGUUAAUAUUCCUGUACUUGGUGUUACUGCGAAGGGGGGACGGAGAAGGCUAUGUUGGCCGGGCGACGGUUGUCCCGGUUUAAGCGUGUAGGCUGGUUUUCCAGGCAAAUCCGGAAAAUCAAGGCUGAGGCGUGAUGACGAGGCACUACGGUGCUGAAGCAACAAAUGCCCUGCUUCCAGGAAAAGCCUCUAAGCAUCAGGUAACAUCAAAUCGUACCCCAAACCGACACAGGUGGUCAGGUAGAGAAUACCAAGGCGCUUGAGAGAACUCGGGUGAAGGAACUAGGCAAAAUGGUGCCGUAACUUCGGGAGAAGGCACGCUGAUAUGUAGGUGAAGUCCCUCGCGGAUGGAGCUGAAAUCAGUCGAAGAUACCAGCUGGCUGCAACUGUUUAUUAAAAACACAGCACUGUGCAAACACGAAAGUGGACGUAUACGGUGUGACGCCUGCCCGGUGCCGGAAGGU